UACGGGAGGCAGCAGUGGGGAAUAUUGCACAAUGGGCGAAAGCCUGAUGCAGCUAUGCCGCGUGUAUGAAGAAGGCCUUAGGGUUGUAAAGUACUUUCAUCGGGGAGGAAAAAACAAAACUAAUAAUUUUAUUUCUUGACGUUACCCGAAAAAGAAGCACCGGCUAACUCCGUGCCAGCAGCCGCGGUAAUACGGAGGGUGCUAGCGUUAAUCAGAAUUACUGGGCGUAAAGAGCACGUAGGUGGUUUUUUUAAAGUCAGAUGUGAAAUCCCUGGGCUUAACCUAGGAACUGCAUUUUGAAACUGAAAUACUAGAGUAUCGUAGAGGGAGGUAGAAUUCUAGGUGUAGCGGUGAAAUGCGUAGAUAUCUGGAGGAAUACCUGUGGCGAAAGCGGCCUCCUAAACGAAUACUGACACUGAGGGUGCGAAAGCGUGGGGA
Molecule: ribosomal RNA, 438 nt
Filed under: uncultured bacterium
Lineage: Bacteria
Description: bacterial SSU rRNA
Rfam family: Bacterial small subunit ribosomal RNA
Source: RNAcentral